GGAACACAAUGAUGGGACGGUUGAUGAGCUUCAUGAGGAAGAGCUCCGAGUCCCCUGUCCCAAGAAAGGGGAAGGGCGGUCAGCUCCAGGGUCCUCUUCGGAAGUGUCUCCCCCACCCUGAAGUCUAAUCUGAGAUCUUGAUGGACACCUAGGCCUCUGCGUGACACCUCUGGGAUGCUGAUCAUGUCCCAGGAAGAACAUCAGCUUCAAAAGGGAAGGGUCCAGGGCAAGAUGGCAUCACCUUCUCACCGUUGUGGCUCAAAUGUGUUUCCUGGCAGGGCCUAGAACCCCAGGCAGGCAGUGGCCAUAUCCUCCUGCCCCACGAAACCCAUGCCUCAAGAGCCGGAACAUCAAAAAUUUCUCAUUUUGAGGUUAUCCCUUAGGCUUGAAACCCAGGAUCUCCCUGGCUCUGUGACUUCAGACGAUAGGUUCCAUGACUCAAAUAAUCAAAAACUUAAAGUGGCCCUUGUCCUCAUCGGCAGUUCAAUUUGUCACUUAUGUGUCCCUGUCUUCACACUAAGACACCCACCAUGGGACUCAAACUCAUGACCCAGGGAUCAAGAGACGCGUGCUCUCCAGAAUGAGCCAGCCAGCCGCCUCUUACUUGGUUAUCUUAAUGCCGUUUGAGCUCCAGUACAAAAGCGGCUUCCUUGUUCUUCUUCCCUGUUCUAGAACAUUCCACAGCACUGUGGGCCGUGUUUGUUUACCCGGCGCCGUAUGGAUGGACAUUUGGAUUGUUGCGGUGGAUGCCUUGCUUUGGCCAGGCCCCCCUCCCAACAGUGUAGUCCUCAACCACACACCGGCAUGUUUUUGUGCAUCUCCUUGCCCAACCAUGCCCUGUGUACCGUGUAAGGAAAUGAAGGUUGUCCAGUCUUGCCUUGAAUGCCUCUGGUAAUGCGGAGCUCACUCCAUGCUCUGUCCAGUGCCAAGGCGGGUGGUAUGUAUGUGCCGUGCACUAGCUUGCUUGGAGAUUUGGAAGUGAGGAAGCCCUGGCCCAUUGAAGCUGCCAGGAGUGAGGGUGUCCUAUGGAGUUGCCAAACGACCACAUGUCUGGAUCUCCUGACCAUAGAGCCUUAGAUGGGGUAAGAGGGAAGCCUCUCUUUUUUUUUU
This is a long non-coding RNA of Neogale vison (American mink), 1110 nucleotides long. RefSeq lists it as uncharacterized. The transcript has 5 exons. NCBI's taxonomy places the organism in Eukaryota, Metazoa, Chordata, Mammalia, Carnivora, Mustelidae. The record is from RefSeq and is a predicted model, not a curated record.